UACGUAGGGUGCGAGCGUUAAUCGGAAUUACUGGGCGUAAAGUGUGCGCAGGUGGCUUCGCAAGUCGAGUGUGAAAUCCCCGGGCUUAACCUGGGAAUUGCGCUCGAAACUACGGAGCUGGAGUAUGGCAGAGGGAGGUGGAAUUCCACGUGUAGCGGUGAAAUGCGUAGAGAUGUGGAGGAACACCAAUGGCGAAGGCAGCCUCCUGGGCCAAUACUGACACUCAUGCACGAAAGCGUGGGAGCAAACAGG
Molecule: ribosomal RNA, 252 nt
Filed under: uncultured bacterium
Lineage: Bacteria
Description: partial 16S ribosomal RNA
Rfam family: Bacterial small subunit ribosomal RNA
Source: RNAcentral